RNAcentral lists this transfer RNA (64 nucleotides) under Alphaproteobacteria bacterium. RNAcentral's name for it is "tRNA-Val". It matches the Rfam family "tRNA". From Rfam's summary of the family: Transfer RNA (tRNA) molecules are approximately 80 nucleotides in length. Their secondary structure includes four short double-helical elements and three loops (D, anti-codon, and T loops). The record is from RNAcentral. Lineage: Bacteria; Pseudomonadati; Pseudomonadota; Alphaproteobacteria.
GAGUGAGGCUGGUGACACUUCGUUCACACCGAAGGGGUCACAGGUUCAAAUCCUGUACCGCCCA